RNAcentral lists this ribosomal RNA (398 nucleotides) under uncultured bacterium. RNAcentral describes it as "partial 16S ribosomal RNA". It matches the Rfam family "Bacterial small subunit ribosomal RNA", at positions 338 to 732 of the family's 1533-position model. The record is from RNAcentral.
CCUACGGGAGGCAGCAGUGAGGAAUAUUGGUCAAUGGGCGGGAGCCUGAACCAGCCAAGUCGCGUGAGGGAAGACGGUCCUAUGGAUUGUAAACCUCUUUAGGCGGGGAGCAAUGCCGGGCACGUGUGCCCGGAGGGAGAGUACCCGCAGAAUAAGCAUCGGCUAACUACGUGCCAGCAGCCGCGGUAAUACGGAGGAUGCGAGCGUUAUCCGGAUUUAUUGGGUUUAAAGGGUGCGUGGGCGGAUUUUUAAGUCAGCGGUGAAAUGUCCGGGCUCAACCCGGGGCCGGCCGUUGAACUUGGGGUUCUAGAGUGGGGGAGAGGUAGGCGGAAGGCGGGGUGUAGCGGUGAAAUGCAUAGAUAUCAGGAAGAACUCCGGUGGCGAAGGCGGAAUGCCGG